AGGAACGGAGGGAGUAUAAAGGUGCUUUGGCCUUCCAAAAUAUGGAUAAAGUAGAGGAUAUAGAUAUUCGUAGGUCACCACACGUUUCAUUGUCAGUGUCGGACCUCCAAAAGAUGAAGUCCCUGAGAAAACUAUCUGACAAAAGUUGCGCCAGCAUAUUCUCUGCAGAAUGGUUCAAUCCAGUCGUCCUAGAGGAAUUGGCAGCCCAUGACAAGUCUUUGGACGAAGAGAAUAUCUCUGUAGCAACAGGUCUGAUCCCAAAGGUGGCAAUGAGCAAAUCUUUUCAUCCAGGUUCAUUCCAACUGGAGGAAAUGGAGGUGGAGAGCAUCUCGGCAGUGCUUAUUGCUCCCAUUUGCAGACGCCUUGCCGCUACCCUUCGCAAAUUAAUGUUCAUCUGUGAUCGAGGGACUGAAACCUUAACGGAAGAGCAAGAGAAAGCACUUAAUCUUCUCACCUCCCUCCAAUAUCUACGUUUUCCAUCCUGCAAACUGCGGUUUAUCCCUCGGCUAUACGGCAUUUCUUCUAUCAGGGAUUUUUCUUUAGGAGGCUGUGAGGGACCCAUUCACUGCCCCCCAAGGAAUUUUCUAAGUGGCUGCAGUCGUGAGAUAAAAGAGCAAGCCGAGAAACUUAAAGAAGCAAACCCUUGUUUAUCUGUAGAGUCUUGUACUAUCUACAGACAACCGCUUCCGAGGAUUCCAUGCCAUGAUAAUGUACAGGUCAAUUUGCUGACGGGACAUUCAUGAAUGGAAGCACAAGCGAGCUAUCAUGUGAUGAAUAUCCAUAUGCUGUCCUCUGUCAGUUGUGAGAUAAAAGAGCAGUCUGAGCAACUAAAAGAAAGCAAACCCUUGUUUAUCUGUUGAGGUACGUAAAACUCACUUUCGUUGGAAGGGGUUGGGGUCGAGACGAAAAAGGAACGGGCAAUGGUACGCACCUAUGAUCAGCUCUCAUAGUGGGAGAAUCAUUGUCAAGUUAGGCGCAAAAGAGGGGGUUGAAACCUAUCUAGUUUCUGAAAUCUCAUGAUUUACUCGUGUCAUUGAAGAAGUAGCCAAUCGAAGAAGUAGGGGUCACACAUGUAUUUGAAGUCGGUAUCUGCAGAACUAGAAGACAGGCAGCCAGGUCGAAUACAGGACAGGAGGUGCAACUGUUCUGUGCAAAUUGUUCCUCAUCUUGGAUAACCGCCUGACAUCCAGAGCUAGCCAAGCCGAUGCAAAAUCCAAACUGCGAGGCCAUGGUGGACAACUGCUAAUGUGGAUUCGUCAAGACAUCAGAGCCUCCAAUGGUGGGAGAAGAUCUGGUUACCAGUAGCUUGGUAAAGAACCCUGGCGGUACCAUUGUGCCUUCUGGUUGUUAUGUUGCUGGAAGAAAGACUUGGUUGACGCAGCCGCAGCUCGCCAAUCUGCACCUGGCCUCGGGGUGGACUUUGGGUCAGCACCUGGCCAUGUUAUGCGAGCUGUCUCAAGGCUUGGUUCUUGCUCCGCAAAUUGUUGGAGAGGCAGUAAAACUAGGUUGCUUAUCAGUUCUUGCCUUUCCUAGUAAAGGUCAUGUCAGCCAAGGACUAUAGUGUUCAACCACUUUCGAGGGUCCCCAGCCAUGAUAUUGUGCAGGUCGCCUUAAGUUCAACAUUUAGAUUGUCCCAAAGACUGUUUUUUUGCCAUGUUUUGUUAUCUGCAUAGUUUCCCUUUGAUACAAAAGUGAUUGGUUCGUUCAGUUGAAUCAGGUCAUUUUCGCCGUCGAGGCAUAUAUAGAUGGAAGCACAAGGGAGCUAUCAUGUGAUGGGCCAUUAAGAGAUCCAUAUGCUGCCAGGGAGGAACGCAUUGGACACAGUGGGCUCUUGCCCUGGUGAAGUUCUGGAGGUCAUAUAUCUGCUUGUUUCUAGAAGACUGCCCAUUUCUUGAAUGGGUAGGCUCUUUGUUAACUCGUAUAACCGAUUGGUGAGAAAAAUAAAAUAAUCGAUUACUCAGUAUGUGUCUAUUGAUGGGAAUCAUCAGGUAAUCUUCAUAAUUUGCUUGUUAUCGAUUCUAUCAAAUCUGACACGGUGCUAGCUAGCUAACUAACUGACACAGGAUUUCCUUGAUGCAGGAACGAUCAUGCUCACAAAAUAUUUUGGUCGAAUUGCAGAGUGAUCUAAAAGCAGCAGAUAUGUUUCAAGUUUGUGAAGAGUUCAGCAGGCUUGCACUGACUGAUUAGCAGGGUAACUUCAAGCCAGAGCAUCAUCCAUACUGGAUAGCUUCUGCCACCGAAUUGCCAGUUCAUUAGGAUACCGGUUUGAACUGAAUGGAUUAGUUAGAAAUGCUUUCAAAUCAAUGUACCUAUUGUAUGAGUUUGCCAAUUCAAUAAGAGAUAGAUGACUGUCACAGCACUUUAUUUUGGGGGAUUCUUUUGUGUACAAUGAAUCCACAGUGCUGAAGUGUUAGGGUGGUUUUUUUAUGUUAUAUUUCAAUUGUCACUUAA
This is a long non-coding RNA of Hordeum vulgare subsp. vulgare (domesticated barley), 2451 nucleotides long. RefSeq lists it as uncharacterized. NCBI's taxonomy places the organism in Eukaryota, Viridiplantae, Streptophyta, Magnoliopsida, Poales, Poaceae. The record is from RefSeq and is a predicted model, not a curated record. The transcript has 8 exons.